GACACUUGGGCCGGGAUGUAGAUCAGGUUUGCCCACUUGCUUGAGAAAAGACGUUCCAGUGAGGAACCCUGAUCCCUCGGCCCCA
RNAcentral lists this microRNA precursor (85 nucleotides) under Mustela putorius furo (domestic ferret). RNAcentral describes it as "miRNA (ENSMPUG00000021971.1)". Lineage: Eukaryota; Metazoa; Chordata; Mammalia; Carnivora; Mustelidae. The record is from RNAcentral.